UUUCCUUUACAUAAAUAAAGACAUUUGCACCAUAAAUUGAUGCAGAAAAGGCACAAAUUGUUGCAGAACAAUUCACCAGAAUACAGAAAAUGAAGCGUUUGACGUUUAAAAGUUCCCG
Long non-coding RNA from Sander lucioperca (pikeperch), 118 nucleotides. RefSeq lists it as uncharacterized. The transcript has 3 exons. Lineage: Eukaryota; Metazoa; Chordata; Actinopteri; Perciformes; Percidae. The record is from RefSeq and is a predicted model, not a curated record.